RNAcentral lists this ribosomal RNA (1369 nucleotides) under Car cf. condensatus NLG-2014. Its description in RNAcentral is "partial 16S ribosomal RNA". Lineage: Eukaryota; Metazoa; Arthropoda; Insecta; Coleoptera; Caridae. The record is from RNAcentral.
GGCGGUAUUUUAAUCUUUUCAGAGGAACCUGUUCUAUAAUCGAUAAACCACGAUUUAUUUUACUUAUUUUAAUUAAUUUACAUAUCGUCGUAAUUUGAAUAUUUUAUAAGAAUAGUUAAUAUUCAAUAUUUUUUAUUAUAAUUAAAUUCAGAUCAAGAUGUAGUUUAUAAAUAAGAAGAAAUGGGUUACAUUAAAUAAAUUUAAAUAAUAAUUUAAUUUUAAAAAUUUAGUUAAAUUGGAUUUGAUAGUAAUUUUAAUUAAUUAAUUAAAAUGAUUUUAGCUCUAAAAUAUGUACAUAUCGCCCGUCGCUUUCUUUAUAAAAAGAAAUAAGUCGUAACAAAGUAGGUGUAUUGGAAAAUGUACCUAGAAAGUACAAAUUAAAGCUUAUUUUAAAGCAUUUUAUUUACAUUAAAAAGUUUAUUGUUAAAAUCAAUAUAAUUUGAAUAAAAUAAAUUAUUUAAUUUAAAAGUAUAUUUUAAAUUUAAAAUAAAUAAAUUAUAGUUUAAUUAUUUAGUUAAGAAAAAAUUAUUUUUAUAAUAGAUUAUUAGUAUUGUGGAAGAACUUUUGUUAAUAAUUAAAAGAAAAAUAUUUUUUGUACCUUGUGUAUCAGGGAUUAUUAAAAUUAUAUUUAAUUUUUAAAUAUUCUCGAAUUUAAAAGAGUUAAUAAGAUAUAAAAUUUUAUUGUAAAAUAAAUAUUUAUAAUAUUUUAUUAGAAAUGAAAUGUUAUUCGAUUUUAAAUAUAUCUAGUUUUUUAAGAAAAAAGUUUAAUUUUACUUAUUAAUUUAAAUAAUUAGUUUAAUUUUUAAUAUUAUUAUUAUUAAUAAGUUAUAUAUAAGGGGAUGAGCUUUUAUAUAUAUAAAUUAUAAAUUUAUAUUAAUAUAUUAUAAAUAAAUAGGAUUAAAAAUUUCCAUUUUUAGAAUAAUAUUAUAGUUAAUUUUUUAUUUUAUAUAAUUUAUAUAAAUUUUAAUUUUUUAUUAAAAUUUUAAUUUAAAUAAUUAAAAUUAAGUAAUAAUGAUAGUAUUAGUAUAUUAAAAUUGUUGGCUUUUAUUUGUAAUAAAGGUUAAAUUAAGGAAUUCGGCAAAUAUAUUUUUCACCUGUUUAUUAAAAACAUGUCUUUUUGAUAAUAAUUUAAAGUCUGACCUGCCCACUGAAUUAAUUAAAUGGCCGCGGUAUUUUGACCGUGCAAAGGUAGCAUAAUCAUUAGUUUUUUAAUUGAAAGCUGGAAUGAAGGGUUGAAUGAAAAAAUAACUGUCUCUUUUUAAUUAUAAUAGAAUUUUAUUUUUAAGUUAAAAAGCUUAAAUUUAAUUAGAAGACGAGAAGACCCUAUAGAGUUUAAUAAAUUAUUAAUUAUAAAAUCUUUAGUUUUUAA